GAUGAACGCUGGCGGCGUGCCUAAUACAUGCAAGUCGAGCGAACAGAUAAGGAGCUUGCUCCUUUGACGUUAGCGGCGGACGGGUGAGUAACACGUGGGUAACCUACCUAUAAGACUGGGAUAACUUCGGGAAACCGGAGCUAAUACCGGAUAAUAUUUCGAACCGCAUGGUUCGAUAGUGAAAGAUGGUUUUGCUAUCACUUAUAGAUGGACCCGCGCCGUAUUAGCUAGUUGGUAAGGUAACGGCUUACCAAGGCGACGAUACGUAGCCGACCUGAGAGGGUGAUCGGCCACACUGGAACGGAGACACGGUCCAGACUCCUACGGGAGGCAGCAGUAGGGAAUCUUCCGCAAAGGGCGAAAGCCUGACGGAGCAACGCCGCGUGAGUGAUGAAGGUCUUCGGAUCGUAAAACUCUGUUAUUAGGGAAGAACAUACGUGUAAGUAACUGUGCACGUCUUGACGGUACCUAAUCAGAAAGCCACGGCUAACUACGUG
Molecule: ribosomal RNA, 497 nt
Filed under: uncultured bacterium
Lineage: Bacteria
Description: partial 16S ribosomal RNA
Rfam family: Bacterial small subunit ribosomal RNA
Source: RNAcentral